AAGAGCCGAAGGAAUACGAUAGAGAAGAACGUUAUCGUAUGGCUAUAGUGCAUCUAAAGUGGUGUCGCUCUCAAUUUCCUUGCGGAUAAUGUACCCCGUCGAGUUCUCUCUUGCGUCGUUUCAAAUGCUGCGGCGGUAUGGCCGUUUCCACCGGCACGUAGCUGGUUUUCAUCCCAGAUAUCAGGAUUCCUUCGUCCUCCUCUUCCUCUCCGGUGCGUUCGGUUUCGGUAUGGCUGGUCGCUGGCGACAAAAAAUCACGCUAUUAAUCGCUCGAUCGCGCCUUCGAUCGCUCAUCGUGCCGCUGGUUCUCGCGAUCCUCGCGAGCAACAAUUCGUUCGCGAGGAUCUCGCGUCCCCGCGAACAACUCUCUAUUUCUAAUUGCGAAACGAUUAAUCCCCGUUCCCACCGGCUCAUCUCCGCUUUAUGCAAAUAUGCGAUCAUUCCGUUGGAAUUUAAAUGGCCGGAAAUGGUAACGUCACAGGGAGCACCGAAGCUCUAACUGUAUCAGUCCUGUCAGGAAUACCGGCGGACGGUCCGGAGGCUGGCCCAUCAAUUUCGAGACACUUUGCGCAGUGCAGUGCACGGUCAUUUAUAACCCUAUCAUAGUGACCGCGUUAACACAGCCCGCGGACGGAGGAUCACCGUGACCCAUUUCCGAUCUUUUCGUUCACUGUGAUCGGGAUCGUAAAGGUGCCGCGCCGCGAACGAACGAUCGGAAAUCGCGUCGAGCAUCGUCGAACGCGCUGUUACGAUUUCGAGCAGGGACGAAAAAUCGGUCGUUCCGAUUAGCGGCACCUGCGGUCGCUUUCAACCCUUGGAGGACGAACCUUGGUCGACGUCGUGACGAGGACGUCAGGACCGUUCUCACCGUUUCCCAUUAUUUUCCGAUACGCGAUCUAGCGCUCCGCGAAAAAUCCGCGAGAAGUUGACAACGAUCGCGGCAGCUCGAUCCUCUAAAUCGCCGAUUCUUCCGUUCAACAUUCUCGUCUCGGUCGAUCUGACAAAAAGUAACGAAUCGAACAACUCGGGGAAGAGAUCGGAAAUGAAACGUUCGCAGCGUCGAACCCGAAAGAAACCGAGGCACAAGUGUCGGCGACCGUGCGAAUCAAGUGCCAGUUAGAUCGGCGGCGGCCGCAUGUGCCGCGAAUUCAGAGCGAUUACGCGACGACGACGACGGGUGGUUAAUUCCUUGAUUAUGCAUUAAUGGUUUCCCGCGAUCCUUCCAGCGUAACUGCCGGUCAAAUCACGGCCACGCGCACGCACUUUGCUCCGAACGGAUCCUUGAAGUACAGCGCUAGCUAGCUGGCCGGACGUCGUUAAAAGUCAAGUUCAUUUUACAAGCGGCGACGAGACACGGACUUACGCGGGAAGGUUUCCUCGGUCCUCUCGUCGGGCCUGCGACCCGCCGCGUGGAUCAGGUAGGUCCGGUAAUAGGGCGCCUUCCCGAUCACCUGGGACCGGGACAGGGCGAUGAAGAUGAUGGUGAUCGGCAGCAGGACCGCCGGUAUCAGCAGCAUCAGCUUCACGCGGAACCGCCAAGUGUCGUUCCCUCCCAUGCACCACCUGCGCAAGCCGACGAGUACCUUCGUGAUUACACAGCGACCGAACGAUUCGGCUUGUCCCAAGCCUUAAGAAAGUGAUCCCAUUUUGGUACUUCAAGCGUCCGGUCUCCUUGUUGAUCGCCAGACGACAGGACGGACAGGGUCCUCCGCUGAAGAACUCGUCGUCGUUGUAGUGGCUCAGGCUGCUUCCGCCCCUCAUCUUUUCUGAAAGCAAGUCCGGUUGGUUCUGUCUGAGUCGGCCCUCCUCUUACUUCAUGUUCACGAGGUUCUAUGCGGUAAUAUCACGUUCGUAACCCGCGGACCACCGGGUGGACUUUUUACAUCGCCGAACCGCGGAGCGACCGUGGUUCCUUCGCCGGGACCAAAGAUCGUACUGACGGCGAGCAGCCGCGCGGAUUGCCAGCCAAGCCAAGCCACACACCGAUCGCCACCGAUUCCUGAAUGGUGUGACACUGCGCCCGCGAAUGAAGAUCACACAGGCAGCCCCGGGAGCUAUUGGUACGGGCGGCGAUCACGACACGAAUGUUAAUGUAACGUUGCGCGUACGGGGCAAAUUAGUCCCAGCGACAUUUGUACGGCCAGUAAUUUCCAUAUGUAACGUAUGUCGGCGGUCAACGCCAGUGGCGAUGGUAACAACAAUCGAGGCGGAGGCACUCUGUACGUGCACGCACACCGCGAGGGCCAUUUUACGCGCUCCUUACGUCCAGUUACUCGUCAAUCGACCCUAAUAACUUGCAGUUAUCGUUCAAUAACGCGACGCGCUGUUUUACAUUCUACACGUGACCCCCCGACGUUAUUAACGUCUUUUCUCAUCGCCAGCACCGGAUUGCCGUUACAAAACGUAAGAACCUCGAACGGCGAGCCGCCGCCGAGAUCCUGCCGGCGCACACGGCGCAACCCUUUCUCGCGACCGGGAUCCGAUGAUCGUCGGGGAGCACGGGGGUUGCAACCGUCCGCGAUCGGGACUCGACUGUCUUUGUAGGCGGAUCGUAAGAAUGCGGAACACGCGAAGGUUUUUAUUUUAUGGUGGUUGCCGAAGGUGCUGCAUGCGAUCAGCGAUCAUGGCUGGAGCCGUUCGAGUCCAUAGGCGUUCGUUUCUUCGUGUGUUUUCAGCCUAAGUCUUUGAUCUUUUUAGUAGACCUCGUAUAAACGACUCGAACAGCCUGCUAAUUUGCAACUCCGGGUCGAAAUGGUAUCAAGGUCCGCUAUUCAAGGGUUAAAAGGUCGUGUUGCCCUUGGAACGUCGGAUGGCCCGAUUUGAAACCUUUCGUUCUAAGCGACGACGAGGUUUACGAUUGGCCUAAGGACAACGAUAUACAUAUAGUGGACACUUUUUAAUUUCACCUCCAAUCUUCUCUCAUCCCUGAGAAAUGAGAGGAUACUAUGGAUUCUUCGAAAUAUUGUUUGGUUCACGGAUUUCUCAAUAUCCUUUGACGAGCACAAUUUCGGAAACUUUGUUUUUAUUACUUUAGAAUGUUAACUUACUGUUAUUAUGUAAUUUUCUUCGACUAAUACAUUCUUCAUGAUUUGAUAGGAAAUUCCAGUACAUUAUGUUGCAGCCGUAAAGAUCAUCCUCGGGAGUCAUCAUGAUGAACGAAAUUUGGCGUUUCUAGUACACCCGAAAACCAAUUUCUCGAAACGGCUUUAUUUUCUUCUAUGAUGACGUCUCGUUCCGUCUACAUGUUUUACAGCAAGAAAUAAUGUUCGUAUAGUUCUAAUUUCAAGUUAUUGAUAAUCAACUGUUUUUUUUUUUUUUUUAGAAGAUGAUUUAGAGGAUUACAUAAGGUAAAACAUUAAUUUAGGCUGCGCUUUUAUCGGUACUUUAUUUUUAUGUUACAAACAAAGAUGGAAGCAAAUCGUAUUUUACAAUGCAACACUUUACAAUACUAUACAACAA
Megalopta genalis is the source of this 3459-nucleotide non-coding RNA. Lineage: Eukaryota; Metazoa; Arthropoda; Insecta; Hymenoptera; Halictidae. The record is from RefSeq and is a predicted model, not a curated record.